UUAUAUUCUGUAGCAAGGUUAACCGCAUAGGGGAGCCGGAGGGAAACCGAGUCUUAAUUGGGCGUUAAGUUGCAGGGUAUAGACCCGAAACCCGGUGAUCUAGCCAUGGGCAGGUUGAAGGUUGGGUAACACUAACUGGAGGACCGAACCGACUAAUGUUGAAAAAUUAGCGGAUGACCUGUGGCUGGGGGUGAAAGGCCAAUCAAACCGGGAGAUAGCUGGUUCUCCCCGAAAGCUAUUUAGGUAGCGCCUCGUGAAUUCAUCUCCGGGGGUAGAGCACUGUUUCGGCUAGGGGGCCAUCCCGGCUUACCAACCCGAUGCAAACUGCGAAUACCGGAGAAUGUUAUCACGGGAGACACACGGCGGGUGCUAACGUCCGUCGUGAAGAGGGAAACAACCCAGACCGCCAGCUAAGGUCCCAAAGUCAUGGUUAAGUGGGAAACGAUGUGGGAAGGCCCAGACAGCCAGGAUGUUGGCUUAGAAGCAGCCAUCAUUUAAAGAAAGCGUAAUAGCUCACUGGUCGAGUCGGCCUGCGCGGAAGAUGUAACGGGGCUAAACCAUGCACCGAAGCUGCGGCAGCGACGCUUAUGCGUUGUUGGGUAGGGGAGCGUUCUGUAAGCCUGCGAAGGUGGCCUGUGAGGGUUGCUGGAGGUAUCAGAAGUGCGAAUGCUGACAUAAGUAACGAUAAAGCGGGUGAAAAGCCCGCUCGCCGGAAGACCAAGGGUUCCUGUCCAACGUUAAUCGGGGCAGGGUGAGUCGACCCCUAAGGCGAGGCCGAAAGGCGUAGUCGAUGGGAAACGGGUUAAUAUUCCCGUACUUGGUGUUACUGCGAAGGGGGGACGGAGAAGGCUAUGUUGGCCGGGCGACGGUUGUCCCGGUUUAAGCGUGUAGGUGUGUGUUCCAGGUAAAUCCGGUUCACUUUAACACUGAGGCGUGACGACGAGGCACUACGGUGCUGAAGCAACAAAUGCCCUGCUUCCAGGAAAAGCCUCUAAGCAUCAGGUAACAUCAAAUCGUACCCCAAACCGACACAGGUGGUCAGGUAGAGAAUACCAAGGCGCUUGAGAGAACUCGGGUGAAGGAACUAGGCAAAAUGGUGCCGUAACUUCGGGAGAAGGCACGCUGACAC
RNAcentral lists this ribosomal RNA (1129 nucleotides) under Salmonella enterica subsp. enterica serovar Braenderup. RNAcentral's name for it is "partial 23S ribosomal RNA". It matches the Rfam family "Bacterial large subunit ribosomal RNA", at positions 628 to 1757 of the family's 2925-position model. The record is from RNAcentral. Lineage: Bacteria; Pseudomonadati; Pseudomonadota; Gammaproteobacteria; Enterobacterales; Enterobacteriaceae.